This 500-nucleotide ribosomal RNA is filed under the name uncultured bacterium. RNAcentral describes it as "partial 16S ribosomal RNA". It matches the Rfam family "Bacterial small subunit ribosomal RNA", at positions 30 to 523 of the family's 1533-position model. The record is from RNAcentral.
AUUGAACGCUGGCGGCAUGCCUUACACAUGCAAGUCGAACGGCAGCACGGGAGCAAUCCUGGUGGCGAGUGGCGAACGGGUGAGUAAAGUAUCGGAACGUGCCCAGUCGUGGGGGAUAACGUAGCGAAAGUUACGCUAAUACCGCAUACGAUCUAUGGAUGAAAGCGGGGGAUCGCAAGACCUCGCGCGAUUGGAGCGGCCGAUAUCAGAUUAGGUAGUUGGUGGGGUAAAGGCUCACCAAGCCGACGAUCUGUAGCUGGUCUGAGAGGACGACCAGCCACACUGGGAAUGAGACACGGCCCAGACUCCUACGGGAGGCAGCAGUGGGGAAUUUUGGACAAUGGGCGCAAGCCUGAUCCAGCCAUGCCGCGUGCAGGAUGAAGGCCUUCGGGUUGUAAACUGCUUUUGUACGGAACGAAAAGGUUUGGCCUAAUAAGCUGAGCUCAUGACGGUACCGUAAGAAUAAGCACCGGCUAACUACGUGCCAGCCGCCGCGGUAA